This is a non-coding RNA of Triticum aestivum (bread wheat), 122 nucleotides long. The record is from Rfam. NCBI's taxonomy places the organism in Eukaryota, Viridiplantae, Streptophyta, Magnoliopsida, Poales, Poaceae.
UUUGUACUCCCUCCGUCCCAAAAUUUGUCUAAAUACGGAUGUAUCUAGUUACAUUUUAGUGUUAGAUACAUCCUUAUCUAAACAAAUGUAAGACAAGAAUUUUGGGAUGGAGGGAAUACUAC